This 271-nucleotide unclassified non-coding RNA is filed under the name Ambisporaceae sp. RNAcentral describes it as "partial contains 5.8S ribosomal RNA and internal transcribed spacer 2". The stretch from base 1 to 71 matches the Rfam family "5.8S ribosomal RNA", at positions 84 to 154 of the family's 154-position model. The record is from RNAcentral. Lineage: Eukaryota; Fungi; Glomeromycota; Glomeromycetes; Archaeosporales; Ambisporaceae.
GUGAAUCAUCAAAUUUUUGAACGCAUAUUGCACUCUCUGGUAUUCCGGAGAGUAUGUCUGGUUGAGGGUAAUUAAAAAGAACCUUUAACCAAUUUUUUUGUGGAAAGGAUAUAAGAUCUCCGCGUUUAUAGCCGUAUCUUGAAAUAAAUGGUCAAGUCUCAUUUUAGUCGAGACGCGUAAUAAUAUUAUUUCUCUAAAUCUUCAUUUUGGGACUAUCAAGUUUUUAUGCAUACAAAUUUGGUUGGUAUGCGGUCAAUACAAAUACUUUGAA